GACGAACGCUGGCGGCAUGCCUAAUACAUGCAAGUCGAACGCGGCCAUCCGGUGCUUGCACUGGUGAAGCCGAGUGGCGAACGGGUGAGUAACACGUGAGAAACCUGCCCUGGAGUGGGGAAUAACUCGAAGAAAUUCGAGCUAAUACCGCAUACCUUCUCUUCACCGCAUGGUGAGUUGAAGAAAGAUUUAUCGCUCUAGGAGGGUCUCGCGGCCUAUCAGCUAGUUGGUGAGGUAAUGGCUCACCAAGGCAUCGACGGGUAGCUGGUCUGAGAGGACGAUCAGCCACACUGGGACUGAGACACGGCCCAGACUCCUACGGGAGGCAGCAGUAGGGAAUCUUGCGCAAUGGGCGAAAGCCUGACGCAGCAAUGCCGCGUGCGGGACGAAGGCCCUAGGGUCGUAAACCGCUUUCAGUAGGGACGAAAAUGACGGUACCUGCAGAAGAAGCUCCCGGCCAACUAACGUGCCAGCAGCCGCGGUAAACG
This 488-nucleotide ribosomal RNA is filed under the name uncultured bacterium. RNAcentral's name for it is "bacterial SSU rRNA". It matches the Rfam family "Bacterial small subunit ribosomal RNA", at positions 28 to 527 of the family's 1533-position model. The record is from RNAcentral.